Molecule: long non-coding RNA, 516 nt
Filed under: Olea europaea subsp. europaea
Lineage: Eukaryota; Viridiplantae; Streptophyta; Magnoliopsida; Lamiales; Oleaceae
Source: RNAcentral
AGCAUACGCAUAGGCAGAACGAAGAAACAGCAUCAAAUCACAAGCAAGAUUAUAAUUUCUCGGCCGUAAUCCCAAUUACAAGAGCAAUAUUAAGCAAAACAGACCUGAGCCAUCUCGUGAUGAAAAGGGAUUUUCUGAUCGGGCGGGGACUCAUUGGCAGUGAAGACCCGGCCAACGACGUUAGUCCUAGGAGCAGCACCGCCCACAUACGGCAGUUCCUCGUACCCAAACGCUUCAACAACGUCGUUGAAGCCAACAGCAGUGGAUACAGAAAAACCCCUGAAAAGAAUAGCCCCGUGUUGAUGCAGAACAGAAUCCAGCCAUGACUUCUGAUCUUUAAUGGCGUCAGUUAAACUGUGAAAUUCUACUGAAUUUCUUGCGUUGGGAGAUAAUAUUUUGGGGAAAACAAACCCUUCGAAGAUUUUUUGCUGCGGAAUUUUGAUUUCUGUGAAGAAAUUUUGAGCCAUUUUUAUUUGAUUAAGAUUUGUUACACUUAUCUUCUUCUACUUCUUAUUU